UUUUAAUUUUAUGGAUGAUCUAUUACCCAUGAAAAUUAUAAAAAACAUUAUAAAUGGAUCAUUUUGACUGUUCAAUCUAGGUUUAGGUUCCACGCAAAUAAAACGGGUGAAGGAGAAAAAUUGAUUGCAAGAACAAAUAAAAAAACGCCACUUGUCAAUAAGUUUUUCAAUUCUUUUUAAAAUCUAUUUCUUCCAUCUUCUCCAAAUCACUAUUGAACUGCAAUUGAAGCUUUGGGAGGAAAAAGAAAGACAUUGAUCUCAAUAAAAUUGGCUCAAAAAGACACACCAUUAACCACAUGGCAACUGAUGACCAUCGGAUCAAAAUGAGGUUGUCCAGUCGAAUGCGAAGGAAUGUAAAAGAAGAUCAAAUGAUGUACGUACAUAUGAAAAGAAGAUUAGGAGACGACUAUGAAGAGAUUUUAGGAGGACAAAGGUAAUAUCGUUAUUGAUCAAUUAACAUACAUAUUUUUUGGUAAUGCUUUUUUUUUUUUAAUUUAAAUAGUUUAAAAUUAAAAUUUUACUAAUUUGAUUUUACAAAAAAAAUUAAUUGAUAUUUCCUUUUCACUACUUAAAGCACGUUGAAGCAACAAGUUGGCGUUGCUCCUCCUGCUUUGGUUAUGGAUUUUAAGGAAGAAAAUAAGUAACACCAUUACAUGAUUUUUGCUUAUAUCACAUGUACUAUAGUUUCUAUAUAAUAUCCGUCACAAAUUCUUCAAAAAUGAUGUAUUAUUAAAGGAUCCAAUGCAGGUGUAAUGAUAUUUUUAAAAAUUCAUUAUCAUUAAUUUAUUAAUCAUCAAUCAUUUAUAAUAUAAUAAAAUAAUAUUAUAUUUUUAUUAUUUUCUUCUUUUAGCUACU
Molecule: long non-coding RNA, 855 nt
Organism: Capsicum annuum
Lineage: Eukaryota; Viridiplantae; Streptophyta; Magnoliopsida; Solanales; Solanaceae
Exons: 3
Source: RefSeq, a predicted model, not a curated record